AGAAUGAACGCUGGCGGCGUGCUUAACACAUGCAAGUCGAGCGCGAAAGGGGUUUCGGCCCCGAGUAGAGCGGCGAACGGGUGAGUAACACGUGGAUAACCUACCCAUGGAGCGUGGGAUAACCUGGGGAAACUCGGGCUAAUACCGCAUACGACCGUGGCGCGAAAGCGCGACGAGGAAAGACAGCCACUGCUUGCAUGCUGUCACUCCUGGAUGGGUCCGCGCCUGAUUAGCUAGUUGGUGAGGUAACGGCUCACCAAGGCGACGAUCAGUAGCCGGCCUGAGAGGGCGAUCGGCCACACUGGAACUGAGACACGGUCCAGACUCCUACGGGAGCAGCAGUGGGGAAUAUAGGACAAGUGGGGCAACCCUGAUCCAGCAACGCCGCGUGGAGGACGAAGGUCUUCGGAUUGUAAACUCCUGUCGAGAGGGGACGAAAGGCUCGUCGGGUUAACACGGCCCCGUGAGCUUGACGGUACU
RNAcentral lists this ribosomal RNA (480 nucleotides) under uncultured soil bacterium. Its description in RNAcentral is "bacterial SSU rRNA". It matches the Rfam family "Bacterial small subunit ribosomal RNA", at positions 26 to 479 of the family's 1533-position model. The record is from RNAcentral.